RNAcentral lists this ribosomal RNA (450 nucleotides) under uncultured bacterium. RNAcentral describes it as "partial 16S ribosomal RNA". It matches the Rfam family "Bacterial small subunit ribosomal RNA", at positions 354 to 796 of the family's 1533-position model. The record is from RNAcentral.
GUGGGGAAUCUUCCGCAAUGGACGAAAGUCUGACGGAGCAACGCCGCGUGAGUGAUGAAGGUCUUCGGAUUGUAAAGCUCUGUUAAUCGGGACGAAAGAGCCUGUUGCAAAUAGUUACAGGUAUUGACGGUACUGAACGAGGAAGCCACGGCUAACUACGUGCCAGCAGCCGCGGUAAUACGUAGGUGGCAAGCGUUGUCCGGAAUUAUUGGGCGUAAAGAGCAUGUAGGCGGGAAUCUAAGUCUGUUGUGAAAAUGCGGGGCUCAACCCCGUAUUGCGAUGGAAACUGGGUUUCUUGAGUGCAGGAGAGGAAAGGGGAAUUCCCAGUGUAGCGGUGAAAUGCGUAGAUAUUGGGAGGAACACCAGUGGCGAAGGCGCCUUUCUGGACUGUGUCUGACGCUGAGAUGCGAAAGCCAGGGUAGCGAACGGGAUUAGAAACCCCAGUAGUCC